GGACGAGAGUUGACAGGGAGGGUUGACGAUCUAUCCCAUGAUGUUGGAAUACUACAGUCUUCCGUUGUCGACCUUCUAGAUACAGUAGCGGCGCUUAGGGGAGAUUUAGCCGGCAGACGAUGGGGGGACAGAGGGGAUGGCGGAGACCAUGAUCGAGAGGGUGGCAGAGAUGGUGAUGGAGAGGGGGGUCACCCACAUUUUUGGCGUGAUGAGACAUUGGAGUCCUUGUGGUUGUCUAUGGAGAGGGUGGCCCCAAUGGGGAUGGGAGAGGGGACUACGGAGGGGAUGGCCCCAACGGGAGGGGCGGAGGAGGUGACCCCGGAGGUCGAGAGGACGCCCGGCGUGAUUGAGGGUAAGAGACAUGCUGUUGAUAAGACGGAGCAGUUGGUCGGCAAGAGAUUAAGAGUGCCGUCAUAGUAUGUUGUUUUCCUCUUCACGGCUGAGGCCAAGAGGAGGACGUUCAUCGAUGGGACGUACCCGAACUUAUUCGGAGAGGUGGACAAUGCCAAGUGGAAAGCGUUCGAGACAGAGUGGAGGAGAAUUAUCCCCGGAGCUAGCCGCACGAUAGGACAAAGGACGAUCUCGGACCCUUACAAGUGGUUCCACAAUAUCACCACUGCGGGAGCUUGGCUCGCCGACGAUCACAUCGACCUGGCCAUGGACUUGCUGCGAGAUCGAGCU
Olea europaea var. sylvestris is the source of this 681-nucleotide long non-coding RNA. RefSeq lists it as uncharacterized. The transcript is spliced from 3 exons. The record is from RefSeq and is a predicted model, not a curated record. NCBI's taxonomy places the organism in Eukaryota, Viridiplantae, Streptophyta, Magnoliopsida, Lamiales, Oleaceae.